UUUUUUAAUAUUGUAAUUAGGUAUCUACUAAAUUCCUCAAUUAUUUUAUAACUUCGUGAAAUAACAAUAUCAUUACAAAAUUAUAGUUCGUUACAGAUGAAAUACCAUGAUUUAUGUCAUAAUUAAAAUAACGGUACAAAAAAAGUACAAUGAACAAAAAUUGAUAAUUUUAUUUUUAUUUUUAGAGCAUAUUAGUCGUAUUUGUUAGCGCAUAAUUACAGCAAUACUGCGAUACUUCAAUUAUAUUUUCGCUACCCGGCCGCGGUCAUAAAUUUUGAACGUCAUUUCUCAACUUUUGGGGGGAGAGGAGGGCAAACAUAUACACUAGACGACUAUAACAUAAUAUACGAUGAAAAUAAUGCGGCGUUCUCGUGUGUUUUAUCGUUUGAGUUUGCUAUAAAAAAAAGAAAAAAGAAAUCCUUUUUUACGGUACCUACCCAACAUAAACUAUCGCGUUUAGAAUAUUAACGACUUAUUAUGGUCACAUAUAUAAUGUAUACGUGUGUGUGUGUAAGAUUGAACGCGUAUACCUAAAUCCGGAUUUCUUAACUUUGAAAAACGCUGAAGUUUUUUUGCUCCUUUUUUUUUUUUUUUGUCGUCCCUAGUGAAAAAUAUAAUAUCGUGGCAUUUUCGAGUGGUUUCCGCAUAAGCAAGUAGUGCGUGAUGAGUACAAAUCCGAAAUCCGCGUUAUUCUCGGCGAUAAGUACGGAAGGAGGGAUCAAACCUUAGUAGUUUCUUUUAUCCAUUUUUUUCGGAUCGACUCCUCGGUGGCGUGUACAUUACUCUGAUAAAAUUAGUAAUAGUAAUAAUAAUAAAUUAUAAUCGUGUGUACAACGUAAUAUUUGUACAACAAAUUAUGCAUAACACACGUCGUCUUUCGAAUGUAUUACUUUUUCGCGGAAUGCACUAUAUUAUUAUACGGAGUGGUUUUGUUUUUACCACGAGCCAAUACGAUUGUCUCAUUUAUAUAGUAUAAACUUACGAAAAUGUUUUGGUUGUUUUAUCAAACAUAAUGAUAUAUACUAUAGUCUAUGGAAUAAUCGUUUAAAAAAGGCUUAUGUAUUUUGACUUAUGACUAGAUGUAUUUUCGUCUCAAAUGGCAUUAGUUAAUUUUUUUUUUUUUUUUUAAAUACACCCGAUUUCGGUCAGUUGUUUUUAUUACGGUACACACACCCGGACAACUGUUGCCGUUCGUAUAUUAAAUACUUCGGUAUCCACACAAAGUCAAUACCCUUCCCUCCCCAACCGGAUAUCCGUAUUUUCGUAGACGUUUUAAAGAUUUUCUAUAUCUGCAUAUCGAAAAAGAAAACGCGAGGUCGACGGUACAAAAUAGUUAUCAAUAUUAUUAUAGUAUAAUCAUAUUUCGAUAGGACGUUGAUAAGCCGGUACUUCGAACAGAUUUGUUUUUUUACAUAUUCGGUAUUUUGUCUCGUUAUUGUGCAACGACGUAUAGCAUCCUCUCUAAACGAGCUCGAUGAAUAAUAUUAUAAUAUAUUCGUCGGGUACUAUGUACGCGACACGCAUAAUUAUUAUUAUCGCGUACGUGCACUUAGACUCGACUGAUUGUGUUUAAAAAAUACCCCUCUCCCUACCGAGAUGUACUUUUUAGGAUUUUGGCUUUUGGGGGGAGGCCUAAACAACCAUAGUGCAUGAGUGAAAAAUCAAGACCAAAAAAAAAAAAAAAAUAAAAUAAAAAGUAACCCGACAUUGGGAUACCAAUUGAUACAUAUGAUACUAUAAUGUUAUUAUAUUUGUUAUAAUAUUUGGGAAACAAAACGGCUUUCUCGAAGGGUUUCGAUUAUUAUAAUAUGAAUUAAUAGAAGGGUAAACAAACCGGCGUAUUAUAUCGAAAUAAUCAUCCGCCCCUGACACAUUUUACCACCCGAACUCCCCAAACUAAACGAGUCCCCCCCCCCCCGGAACACCGGAUUUUCGGUUGUUGUUUGUUGUUUUUGUAUCUUUUAUUGUCCCGGUCGCGCAAUUCACUGUACGUUUUUGAUAAUAUCACACGUGUCCUCGUCUCCACGACAAACACGGUUUAUUCUUUUUAUUCCUUGGUCAUCCAUAUACAUAGUAUUGUUGUAGUUUCCCUAGUGUAAAUACAAUAAUAAUAACAUUAGUGGUACUCUGCACUCUCUUAUAAUAAUAAUAUCUAUAUACGUAUAGGUAUUAGACGUUUGAUGUGUGUAAAUAUAUACAUAUAAUAACAUAAUUAUAAUCAUACGGUAUAGGUAAAUUGUUUAACGUUUAAUAAUAAUUAUAGAUGUACGAUUGGUUUGUAUUUUUAUUAUUAUUAUUAUUAUUAUUAUUAAAUAUUGUACUGUAUUGCGUUGUAAUUUUUCAAAAUAACUACUUUAUAAUAUUCGAUUAUAAAUUAUGUUUUUAAGUACCUACCGUAAUGUUAGGUAUAUAAUAUUAUAAGUACAGAACAUAAAUACGAAAAUACGAAAUGCAACGUUUAGGUUGACCGUUUUCAUUUUCAAUCAAACUUACUAUAAUAUUAUUAUUAUUUCUUUAUUUAGACAUUGUUAUAAUUACCAUUAUUAUUAUUGUCAAAAUCCUUUGAUUUUGUUCUUGUAUUUUCGAUAUUUUCAACUGUUAGACAGUUAAGUUUGAUAAUGCGUUUUAAAAUUUUAUAUAACAUACAUUUUUUUUUUUUUUUUUUUGUUAAAAUAUAAUUUAUUCAAAAAACCAACAAAAAAAAACUAAACUUUCAACAAACGAGUAAUUUUGUUUUGUUAUAUUAACCUAGCUGUCCGAUACUGUUUAAUCUGUUGGUACGCAGCAAAAUAUUAAAAAAAAAUAUAUAAAAAUAGCUGAUACUUGGGGCGGGUGCAGCAACUGUUGUAGGUGAGAAAUUGAGAAGAUAACAAC
This is a non-coding RNA of Cinara cedri, 2874 nucleotides long. NCBI's taxonomy places the organism in Eukaryota, Metazoa, Arthropoda, Insecta, Hemiptera, Aphididae. The record is from the annotation of a GenBank genome assembly.